This 368-nucleotide unclassified non-coding RNA is filed under the name Hevea brasiliensis (rubber tree). Lineage: Eukaryota; Viridiplantae; Streptophyta; Magnoliopsida; Malpighiales; Euphorbiaceae. The record is from RNAcentral.
GAGAGAGAGAGAGAGAGAACAGUCUAGAAGUUUCCCAAAACACCAAAUAUUGUUUAAUAUUGAUAGUUUAGUUACUGGUAUUAGGAAAACCAAUAUUUUAACUAAUAAGAAAUAAUCAAACAAACAAACAACCCAGGAACAGGGAAGAAGCUGAAAUCAUCACAAGCCGAAAUCCCAACAUAACUAAACCAAAUAACCCCAAAUUUAAAUCAAAAUUAGUCAAGAUUGCAUUCAGGAGAAUCAAAAUUAAAAAUGAAAAAAAAUGAGAAGCAACAAAUUCGUACAAUCCACCAAGUGAAAUUUGACGGCUGGGCAAGAGCAGCAAUAGCAGUUGCAGCAACCACAAAAGGAAGCAUUGCUGAAAGUAC